This 972-nucleotide ribosomal RNA is filed under the name Escherichia coli. RNAcentral's name for it is "partial 23S ribosomal RNA". It matches the Rfam family "Bacterial large subunit ribosomal RNA", at positions 1950 to 2916 of the family's 2925-position model. The record is from RNAcentral. Lineage: Bacteria; Pseudomonadati; Pseudomonadota; Gammaproteobacteria; Enterobacterales; Enterobacteriaceae.
CCUAAGGUAGCGAAAUUCCUUGUCGGGUAAGUUCCGACCUGCACGAAUGGCGUAAUGAUGGCCAGGCUGUCUCCACCCGAGACUCAGUGAAAUUGAACUCGCUGUGAAGAUGCAGUGUACCCGCGGCAAGACGGAAAGACCCCGUGAACCUUUACUAUAGCUUGACACUGAACAUUGAGCCUUGAUGUGUAGGAUAGGUGGGAGGCUUUGAAGUGUGGACGCCAGUCUGCAUGGAGCCGACCUUGAAAUACCACCCUUUAAUGUUUGAUGUUCUAACGUUGACCCGUAAUCCGGGUUGCGGACAGUGUCUGGUGGGUAGUUUGACUGGGGCGGUCUCCUCCUAAAGAGUAACGGAGGAGCACGAAGGUUGGCUAAUCCUGGUCGGACAUCAGGAGGUUAGUGCAAUGGCAUAAGCCAGCUUGACUGCGAGCGUGACGGCGCGAGCAGGUGCGAAAGCAGGUCAUAGUGAUCCGGUGGUUCUGAAUGGAAGGGCCAUCGCUCAACGGAUAAAAGGUACUCCGGGGAUAACAGGCUGAUACCGCCCAAGAGUUCAUAUCGACGGCGGUGUUUGGCACCUCGAUGUCGGCUCAUCACAUCCUGGGGCUGAAGUAGGUCCCAAGGGUAUGGCUGUUCGCCAUUUAAAGUGGUACGCGAGCUGGGUUUAGAACGUCGUGAGACAGUUCGGUCCCUAUCUGCCGUGGGCGCUGGAGAACUGAGGGGGGCUGCUCCUAGUACGAGAGGACCGGAGUGGACGCAUCACUGGUGUUCGGGUUGUCAUGCCAAUGGCACUGCCCGGUAGCUAAAUGCGGAAGAGAUAAGUGCUGAAAGCAUCUAAGCACGAAACUUGCCCCGAGAUGAGUUCUCCCUGACUCCUUGAGAGUCCUGAAGGAACGUUGAAGACGACGACGUUGAUAGGCCGGGUGUGUAAGCGCAGCGAUGCGUUGAGCUAACCGGUACUAAUGAACCGUGAGG